AUUGAACGCUAGCGGGAUGCUUUACACAUGCAAGUCGAACGGCAGCGCGGACUUCGGUCUGGCGGCGAGUGGCGAACGGGUGAGUAAUGUAUCGGAACGUGCCCAGUAGCGGGGGAUAACUACGCGAAAGCGUAGCUAAUACCGCAUACGCCCUACGGGGGAAAGCAGGGGAUCGUAAGACCUUGCACUAUUGGAGCGGCCGAUAUCGGAUUAGCUAGUUGGUGAGGUAACGGCUCACCAAGGCGGCGAUCCGUAGCUGGUUUGAGAGGACGACCAGCCACACUGGGACUGAGACACGGCCCAGACUCCUACGGGAGGCAGCAGUGGGGAAUUUUGGACAAUGGGGGCAACCCUGAUCCAGCCAUCCCGCGUGUGCGAUGAAGGCCUUCGGGUUGUAAAGCACUUUUGGCAGGAAAGAAACGUCGCGGGCUAAUACCCCGUGGAACUGACGGUACCUGCAGAAUAAGCACCGGCUAACUACGUG
This 484-nucleotide ribosomal RNA is filed under the name uncultured bacterium. RNAcentral describes it as "partial 16S ribosomal RNA". It matches the Rfam family "Bacterial small subunit ribosomal RNA", at positions 30 to 507 of the family's 1533-position model. The record is from RNAcentral.